AUACGUAGGUGGCGAGCGUUGUCCGGAAUCAUUGGGCGUAAAGGGCGCGCAGGCGGCCGUCCAAGUCCGGUGUUAAAUGGUCGGGCUCAACCCGAUCAUGCGCUGGAAACUGGGCGGCUGGAGUCCCGGAGGGGAUGCCGGAAUUCCAGGUGUAGGGGUGAAAUCUGUAGAUAUCUGGAAGAACACCGAUGGCGAAGGCAGGCAUCUGGCCGGAGACUGACGCUGAGGCGCGAAGGCGCGGGGAGCGAACAGGUUUAGAUACCCUGGUAGUCCGCGCAGUAAACGAUGCGCACCAGGUGUCGGGCGGCAGCGCCCGGUACCGGAGCAAACGCGAUGAGUGCGCCGCCUGGGGAGUAUGCCCGCAAGGGUGAAACUCAAAUGAAUUGGCGGGG
Molecule: ribosomal RNA, 392 nt
Filed under: uncultured bacterium
Lineage: Bacteria
Description: partial 16S ribosomal RNA
Rfam family: Bacterial small subunit ribosomal RNA
Source: RNAcentral